Long non-coding RNA from Xiphophorus couchianus (Monterrey platyfish), 3786 nucleotides. RefSeq lists it as uncharacterized. The transcript is spliced from 2 exons. Lineage: Eukaryota; Metazoa; Chordata; Actinopteri; Cyprinodontiformes; Poeciliidae. The record is from RefSeq and is a predicted model, not a curated record.
ACAUUAGCAUUAGCGUCUGCUAAAUAUGGUGUUGGUGUAGCACUUUAGCAUUAGCUUCUGCUAAACAUGGUGUUGGUAUAGCACAUUAGCAUUAGCUUCUGCUAAAUAUGGUGUUGGUAUAGCACAUUAAUGUUUGGCACCAGUUCCUAUAAGGAUAAGCAGCUGAAGACGAUGGAUGGAUUCUCUGGUGCUGACCGUCUGCUUGGACUGGACCAACAGAACCAAACAACCCGGUGGGUCCGAUCCUCACAGGAGCAUCAGGCUCGUUUUCCUCAUAAAUUAGCUGAACGAAGAAAACCUGAGCUUCAUGUUGUGAGCAUGUUGAUCUGCUGUGAAACAUUUCCAGUGGAGUUUAACGUUCAAGUUUUAAAUCUCUGUAAGAAUCAUAACAGCCUCUGUGGCUGAGAGGCAGAAAACGAUGAAUGAGGCCAGGAAACCGCCGUCAUGAAAGAACAGCUCCGAGCUUCCUGCUGCGUAAAUAAAGACGAGCUGAAGUUAUUUUCUAUUCCAGUCAUUUCUGGUCCUGAAUAAACAGGGAGGACCUGCAGACACAUCAGACUCGUGAUUAAUGCAGGUCAGACGAGAAUCCAUCGUCAUUCCUGGACACCAAGCAGCCAGCAGCCUUUUAAGGUCACAAAGUGCUGAAAACCGCCACAGGAUCUGGAUAAAUCUGACUGUUUAUGUUGGGACCACCUCACUUCCUGUUAGGCUGCUGACGAACGGCUCGGCCUUCAUGGGAGCAGGCCGGUCCUGUGGGGUCAGAGGUCACGUCACACAGACUCCUGCUGCGGCGCGGCUCAGUGUAAACAUUAAAGUCCCAAACAGAAACGCUGAAAUAUGAAUGAGACGCAGCAUAAACAAACCAAAGAGAAGCUCCUUCCUCGCCUCAGACGGCAGCAGGACGAGCCGUGGCGUCACGCCAGCCUGACUCGCUCAGCCUGCCAGCCGAGCGUCGGGUUGCUGGUUGAAUUCCUCAGAUAAGAACCAAACCGUCUGGCGUUUUAUCUGACCUUUAUUGAAUGGAUAAGCUCUCAGCAGGCUGAGAUCCAGGAACGCCGCCGCUGCAGACGACCUUCAUGAACAAUAUUUAUUUGAUCAGAACCAGAAGCUCCAUCAGGAAACAAAGAUGGCGGCAGAGAGCCGGAUUAUCAGGAGGUUUUCCUUCUGCCACACGGCGGAGUUAAAACACGGCGUCGGUACAACUGCUGUUUCCAGAACCAUGAUAACUGACCUGCAGCGGGCUGGUGUCUUUUAUUUUGAUAGGUUUUAUUGGCUCUAGUUUCCUUUAUGUGACAGAGGUCAGACGUGUCAAAGGUCACCAGGCCGGGACUCGAACCCGCAACACUUUUCCCUGAUUCUCAGGUAAAAUGUUGCUGAGGUCGAUAAGUCAGGAUUGUUUUCUCUGCUUCACUGGUGCGGUUCUGGGGAACCAGAGAACCACAGAGUGAGUUUGGACCAAACCGGACCAGGAAACGCACCGGGAGAGGAAACCGGGAGCAGAACCGUGUGGUUUCACAGCCGGGUCGGGCCGAACGUCCAGCCGGGUCGGUCCUAAAGAGAGAGGACACAGAGCCGGGCCGGGCCGGUCCGGUCCGGUCCAAACGUCCAGCUGCACUCUGGUCCUGACAGAAAACUGCUUCAAUACAAACAGCCACAAGGUUCUGGUUCCAGGUCCAGUUACAGUGUCGUCUGGUUCCGUUUCCUCUCAGUGGGUUUCAGUUUUCUGAGGAAGCCGGUUCUGAUCCGGGUGGGUUCAUUUUAUCUGAAAAGGAGCAGCAGAGGAAGAGAGACGGUCGAGUUUUCCUCCAUCAGACGGAGCAAAGACUGAUGGAGGAAAACUGCACCUACCUGGGGCCUUCACCUGUCAUCAUCAUCAUCAUCCUCAUCAUCAUCCUCAUCAUCAUCAUCAGCUCUAACUCUCUCCUCUCUGCUUCCUGUUUCCUCCAGGUUACCUCUGUCUACCUGCUCUCUGUUUUCCCAUCUCUUUCCCAUCCUUGACUUCAUCUCUCCUCUUUCUCCUCUCCUUCUCUCUCUCUUCUUCUCUCCCUCGUUAGCGGGUCUCAUCCCUCACUCCUGUCGUUCUACGCAGGAUGACGAAGGAAGCGGCGGACUGGAUUCUUCUGAUCUGCUCAGCUUUUUGAACUUCUGUCGUCUGUUUUCUCUCUUUAACUCUCUUUGUGCAUCAUCUCCCCCCAGAGUGUGUGUUUGUGUGUGAAUGUGUCGCCUCUUCUGUCUCUGAAGAGCUCUGAGUGCUUUAUGUAACACACACACACACACACACACACACACGGUGUGUUAAAGGGACCUGGAGCUGAACCUGAAUCUCACCUGAGCCGCCAAGCGGAGUCAGAACUCUGAAAGUCCUCUGAAGGACUCGGCGUCCUCUCAAACUCGGCGUCCUCACAGAGAGGACGCCGGAUCAAACACGCUUCAUCUUCUUCUACUUCCUGUCUUGUUUCCAGGCUGAAGUCUCCAGAUAAUUUGGUAGAUGAGGGUAAAACUGCUCAAGGACUCCUGAACGUGGCAGUGAAGUCUGUCGGAUCCACGUUUCACCGCCGGAACAAAGGAGCAGAAACUAAAACUUUACUACUGAGAGAUGAGGAUUCUGAGGAUCCAAAGGUUAAAUCUUUACGUUUCUGAUUCUGAAUUAAACGUUUAAUUUGAGGAAGUUUCUCCUGAGCUUUCUGUGUUUCAGGUUUUCUGUUCUGAUGGAUCUGCUGCAGUGAGACUGAAACCAUCGGAUCAUCUCUGAAGUUCUGAUACUUUCACCGACUGAACCAGAACAUUGUUUCGUAGAGACUUUGUUUUAUUUCAUUCUGUCUUGUUUCAGUUUCCUGCCAACAUAAAAAGAUGAUUUUUUUCAUGAUUAGUUUAAAUUAAGUGAAACUGAAGCAGAAUCUGAUGGAUUCAGAGAAAAACUUUUCUUACAGAGGAAAGUUUAAUUUGAUUUCUGAUUAUUGUUUCUGUAGACAAAUGUUCCAGAACCAGAACCAGAACCAGCAGUUCUUCCUGAGGCGAUCCAGCUGUGAUCUUCCUCACCUCAGUGUUUUCAUUUGAACUUUCUGUUUUAACACCAUAAAAAUAAAUCAGGUGUUUCUUUUCAGACUCGGAUGGAUGAACCGUCCCGUCGGUACCGGGACGACGGCGGUCCGAUCCGGCUGCAUCGACGCAGGAUAACGUCUGAGACGGUCCUGACCUGAUCUGACUGCAGAACCGGGUCCAAAGAUCUGCUGUCGGCUCCGUAAUCCUCCAGCCAUGCAGGCCGGCUCAGGCUCCCAGGUUCUGCUGCUCGGUGCUGUCAGCAGAACCUCUGCAAGCCGCUUCCAGCUGCAGGAAGUCAGUCUGGGUUUCUCCUGCAGCAGAGCGAGAGAGAGCAACAGGAAGCUGUGUGGUUUUCUGACUGAGCCGUGUGUUUGAGUGGGACAGCCUGAUGACGAGACGUCCAGGUCGGGACGCCGUCCACUGAAGGACAACAACUCUCACUUUCUGGGAAAUAAACCUGGAGAAGUUCAGCUUUGGGAAGCUGACUCUGCGUUAGUCAGAGUCUGAGAAACAGAUCCUGUUAGAAAGUUUUAAAAAGUAAAAUGAUUUAUGCUGAAACAUUCAUCUGACUCAUGAGUUAUCACAGCAGUUUGAUGAUCUCUGGGAAACUGGGAGGACUGGCUGAAACUGGAACAGAGGAACGUUUGAGUCAGUACAGAACCAGAACUGAAUGGGACAGGAAGCUCUGUGGACCUCAUCUAGUAAUAUUUCUGUUGGCGGAAAUACAGAUGGCCUUGAACUCUC